UACGAAGGGUGCAAGCGUUACUCGGAAUUACUGGGCGUAAAGCGUGCGUAGGUGGUGAGUUAAGUCUGUCGUGAAAGCCCCGGGCUCAACCUGGGAAUGGCGAUGGAUACUGGCUCGCUAGAGUGCGGUAGAGGAGAGUGGAAUUCCCGGUGUAGCAGUGAAAUGCGUAGAGAUCGGGAGGAACAUCAGUUGCGAAGGCGGCUCUCUGGGCCAGCACUGACACUGAGGCACGAAGGCGUGGGGAGCAAACAGG
RNAcentral lists this ribosomal RNA (253 nucleotides) under uncultured bacterium. Its description in RNAcentral is "partial 16S ribosomal RNA". It matches the Rfam family "Bacterial small subunit ribosomal RNA", at positions 524 to 776 of the family's 1533-position model. The record is from RNAcentral.